RNAcentral lists this ribosomal RNA (406 nucleotides) under uncultured bacterium. Its description in RNAcentral is "partial 16S ribosomal RNA". It matches the Rfam family "Bacterial small subunit ribosomal RNA", at positions 30 to 526 of the family's 1533-position model. The record is from RNAcentral.
AUUGAACGCUGGCGGGAGGCUUUACACAUGCAAGUCGAUCGAGCGGCGGACGGGUGAGUAAUAUAUGGGGACGUGCCCGCUAGCGGGGGAUAACUCCUGGAAACGGUGGCUAAUACCGCAUACUAUUGGAUCGACCGAUAUGGGAUUAGCUAGUAGGUGGGGUAAAGGCUCACCAAGGCGACGAUCUGUAGCUGGUCUGAGAGGAGGACCAGCCACCCUGGGACUGAGACACGGCCCAGACUCCUACGGGAGGCAGCAGUGGGGAAUAUUGCACAAUGGGGGCAAGCCUGAUGCAGCCAUGCCGCGUGUAUGAAGAAGGCCUUAGGGUUGUAAAGUACUUUCAGCGGGGAGGCGGUAUCCGCAGAAGAAGCACCGGCUAACUCCGUGCCAGCAGCCGCGGUAAUUC